This 3629-nucleotide long non-coding RNA is filed under the name Sus scrofa (pig). RNAcentral describes it as "lncRNA (ENSSSCG00000057681.1)". Lineage: Eukaryota; Metazoa; Chordata; Mammalia; Artiodactyla; Suidae. The record is from RNAcentral.
AAAAAGCCUCUGCCAAAGAGGGCAGAGAAGAGGAACAAAAGAACCUUGUAACUAAUCAAGUAACUCAGUAACCCUGGAGUCUUCUCUACCUCUGGACUUAUCCUUAUGAGAUAACACAGGUUUUCAUUUAUUCCAGUUUAAAUUCUGGUUUCUGUUAAUUGGAGCCUAAAGCAUCCUAAUGACACAACUGGCUUCCAAGACUACAUCCAGCAAGACUUGACUGAUUUAUUCCUUGUGGAUUUCAAGUAUAACAGAAGGUCCAAAACUGAAGUAAAGUCAUCCAAGUAGGGCAGAUGAAGGGGUCAAAAUGGCUCAGACUUGUCACCAGGAUUUCUAAGUCAGAAGGUGUUGGAAAUCAGAGGCCAGGUGGUACAAAGACAGGAACAUUUGCAGGAAUGAAACCUGGGACUCAUAGCUAUGUGACCUGGCUGGUUUAAUUAGCUGAAGUUGGACCCUGUAACAGACAUAAAGAACAGGUGGCCCAGUUCUAUCAAGCUGAGGUCAUUUACAAGGAAGCAGAAAGGAAUUACCUGGCAAGAGCCAAGUUAAUUAAAGUCAUCUCCUAAGAAUUUCUUCUGGGCAGUUAAUUUUUUUGUCUAAAGGAAAAUUUUGAAAAUUAAUUAUUCCCACAAUGACCCUUAAUUAGGGAUUUAAAUUUAAUGUACUAAAAAUGUUAUGUUUCAUAUUUAAAACAUAACAGUUUUAGUAUACCUAAUAUCUCAAUGAACAGUCUAAGUAUACAUGUGAUUUAAGUUCUUAACAUAAUAUUCAAAUUUAUUAGAGGAGGUGGGGUAAGAGAGAGUUAGAGAAGAAAGAAAAAUGCUAAGAAAUUCUACAUCUCAGUCAUAGUUCUUGCCAUUAGUCAUUGUAAUUUUUAAAAAUUCAGUUUAUCUUUUCCAAUUGUUUGUAUCACAAAGAUUGGAAUAUCAUAAACUAUUGCAUUCUAUUCAAAAUCAGAAGUUUAUCUUUGAGUUCAUGGUCAAAGCAAAGAAAGUAAAAUAGGACCUAUAAAUAUUGAAAAGUAGGAGAAAGUACGUAAUUUCUGGUCAUAUUAUUACUUUGAGAAAAAUCAUUAUAUUAACUGAAAAACAAUAAUAAAAAAGAUUUCAGUAAGUUGAAACAAUAUAGCCAAUUUAAGAAUCUGGAUUACAAUUAGAAUCUGUAGGGAAGUAAUCUACCAAAUGGAUCAGAAUACUUUUAGGUCAGGUGAAAACUUACUUAAAAUAUGUGGAUUCUCCUUAGUUGAAAUUUUCAAUAUGUGGCAAGAUACCUCGUAAGGUAUGGCCGAAUAUGUAUUAUUAACCAUAUUAAUACUUUUUCUUAGCACAUAUGUACAUAAAUACUCUUUUAGUAACAAAUUACAUUAAAGUGAGAUUUCUUUUAUAUUUCUUACCACAUAAUGAUAGACCAGCAUAUAUCCUUGAGCGGGAUAAACUAUGAAACAAACAAACAAACAAAAACCUAGAAAUAACUUAUUAGUUCAGUUUGUCCUAUAGUAAACUGUUCUCUGCAUGAACAAGAUAGAGUGGAAACACUGUCAUCAUUGUAUUUUCUCAGGAUAAUGCCUCUGAUUCAAGGGGAUUUACAACAUCUUCAGGAAAAUUCUAUUUAUAACAUUCUAUAGUUUUAGGGGCUGUUUUUUGGUUGGUUUUUUUGUUUUUAGCCUUGCCCACAGCAUGUGAAAGUUCCCAGGGCUGGGAUGGAACCCGUGCCACAGCAGUGACAACACUGAAUCCUUAACCACUAGCCACCAGGGAACUCCAAUAUCUGUAGUUUUGCAACCAUCACAGGGUUUAGACUUUUAGUUUACAGAAGCAUCACUCAAAGACGUUAUACAGUAAGUGUCCUUUGCAGAUAAUAUACUGUCACCAGGAACACUCAAUUCAACAUCUUAAGAUGUUGUCUUUGCCAAAAUUUGCUCUUUAACAAAACAUACAGUCUCUAGGUCAUAAUACUAAGAGAAAUCAAGGGGAGUAACUUGAAUUAGAUUAACUUUGGAUUUUGAAUUCUGGUUCAUCUGAGGAAAUAAGGUGGUCAUCUUCCUAAAUCAUUAGGGAUUAACUUGUAAUGUUGAACAAUCACUUACACUUCACCCCAGCAAUUCUAAUUAUAGGUAUACUCCUUGAGGAAAUUUUAGCAUAUAGUCAAUAAGACAUGUCCAAGAAUCUUGAUAGCAUCAUUUUUCUUACCAGCAAAAAUGUAAAAUAUCCAGCCCUCAAAGUCCACUGAGAGGAGAAGAAAUAAAUAAGUUGUGGUUUACUUACACAACAGUAAAAUGAAUUAACUAUAGUUGCAUGUAAAAACUUUGCUGAAUCUUAGGAACAUAAUACUGAUUUUUAAAAAGCACAUUUCUGGAGAAUUCAUAUGGUAUACCCUAUUUUAUAAAGCUCAAAAUCAAAUCUAAACAGUAGUUUCUUUAGGCACACAUAUGUAAAAUUUCAGAAAAGUCAUUACCUCUGGUGGGGGAAACAAGGACUAAAUGAGGGGAGGCAUAAAAAAGCAGGUAAAUGUUAUCAGCAAUGAUCCAGAAUCUAAUUUGGAUUGUGGGUUGCGAUUAGUCAUUAUCUCAUGCUUUAUUUUGUAUAUAUUCUAGAAUAUAUCAAAUAUUAUAUUUAAAAGAAAAAUAAACAUGAUUUUUAAAUAUGAUCAAAAUUGACUAAAUACUCUGAUCUGAUAAAUAUUAUUCUCCUCUACUAUUUUUUUUUCUUUUUAUGGCCACACCUGCAGCACAUGGAAGUUCCCAGACCAAGAGUUGAAUCACAACUGCAGCUGCCAGCUUACCACAGCAACACCGGAUCUGAGCUGCAUCUGCAACCUAUGCGUGCAGCAACACCGGAUCUUUAACCCACUGAGCAAGAAAGGUCAGGGAUCAAAUCCACAUCCUCAUGGAUACUCUGUCAGGUUCUUAACCCACUGAGCCACAACAGGAACUCUGUCCUCUUCUAUUUUAAUUGUAAAAGGGGCCUUCUCUUUCACAUAUUCAUUUAUUUACCCUUCAUUUACUGAAGAAAUACAACAAAUCAAGCACUAUGCCAGUUACUAGGAAUUCAGAGGUCAAUAAAAUAGUAUCCUGUAGAACUUACAAUCUGGUGGAAGAAUUUUGACAACAUGAUGUAAUUGUGAAUGGGUAUGAUAAGUAAAAUGUAUAAAAAAUUUCUAGCACAUAGUAAGUACUUAAAGUUAUUAACUAUAAUUCUUAUUAUCACUAUUAUUAUUGUUAUUUGAGCUGGGGGGAAAAAAAAAGCUUGAGGACAGACACUGACCACUUGGUAUUAUUCAAGAGGUAUAUUUUCUUUCUUACUCACCCCAUGUGUACACAUGAAUGGAUGUUUCUGUUUCAUGUGGCGCCUCUGAGUAAGCAGAAUUUGAAAGGUAAGAGAACAAAGCAAACCAAAUACUAUUUAAUCUAAGCUCUACACCACACUGCCUGUUCUUUUAAUAUUUACUCUUUUUAUAAAUGUUUGCCCUCCACUUUAGUUUAAUAAUUCUAAGAAUGCAGUUUCCUCACAGAGUUGUUCUUAUCUGUAGAAAAUCAAAACUAAGAAUAGUUUAUGGACCAACUAGGAGGACUGAAAAACAAUACAUAAUAUAAGACACUUUUUAUUCUGCCUAAUGAAUCAAAUGGCUUU